This 497-nucleotide ribosomal RNA is filed under the name uncultured bacterium. RNAcentral describes it as "partial 16S ribosomal RNA". It matches the Rfam family "Bacterial small subunit ribosomal RNA", at positions 28 to 507 of the family's 1533-position model. The record is from RNAcentral.
GAUGAACGCUGGCGGCGUGCCUAAUACAUGCAAGUCGAGCGAACGGACGAGAAGCUUGCUUCUCUGAUGUUAGCGGCGGACGGGUGAGUAACACGUGGAUAACCUACCUAUAAGACUGGGAUAACUUCGGGAAACCGGAGCUAAUACCGGAUAAUAUUUUGAACCGAAUGGUUCAAAAGUGAAAGACGGUCUUGCUGUCACUUAUAGAUGGAUCCGCGCUGCAUGAGCUAGUUGGUAAGGUAACGGCUUACCAAGGAAACGAUGCAUAGCCGACCUGAGAGGGGGGUCGGCCACACUGGAACUGAGCCACGGUCCAGCCUCCUACGGGAGGCAGCAGUAGGGAAUCUUCCGCAAUGGGCGAAAGCCUGACGGAGCAACGCCGCGUGAGUGAUGAAGGUCUUCGGAUCGUAAAACUCUGUUAUUAGGGAAGAACAUAUGUGUAAGUAACUGUGCACAUCUUGACGGUACCUAAUCAGAAAGCCACGGCUAACUACGUG